Molecule: unclassified non-coding RNA, 3056 nt
Filed under: Leishmania donovani
Lineage: Eukaryota; Euglenozoa; Kinetoplastea; Trypanosomatida; Trypanosomatidae
Description: gene:LdHU3.34.5140(CDS-product:hypothetical_prote in_conserved)
Source: RNAcentral
GAAAAGGGCUUCCUCUGGAACCGCACAAAAGUGCGCAUCUUCACAAACGCUCUCACUUGCGCACGUGAGCCUGGCCUCACUAGCGGACAUUCCCGGCUCGUGAGGCCUCUGACCCUCUUCGUGGGCUACUAGAUGACUUUUCAGCGAUGGACGACUUGCACUCGCCGUUGUCAGGGACGUUCGCGGCCUCUCCGCAUUACCUCGGUGGGGUGAGUGAUUCCUUAGCCCACUUGCCGCCGUUGUACCAGCUGCUUUCUUUGGGUGGUGUUUUCUGCGUGAUACACCUGCGUAACAAUGCUGUCGUGACAUGGCUCGUGGUGCAGUUGCACAGUUCCAUUGGCACUGAGGCGAUGUGGCCAGAGGAGUACAGGGCCACAUUACGGGCCAUGACCUUCACGGAGCGGCUAUGCUUCACACUGUACGGUGCCGCGCUGGCGGCGGUGGCCGUCGUCCUCUUCCGCGUCUUCUGCCAGGAUGCUUGGAAAAUUGGCUUGAACGCAGCUCAGAUGUUCCCUGACAAGAAGCUGCCGACAAUUGCCAUGGUGGUCCUCAUGUGCGUCGCCGAGGGCAUCCGACUGCAACAGGUGAUUGUGCAGGAGUUAUGCACUCCUGGGUCGCUGGCGAGACUCGCCAUGCACGGCUUCGACGGGAUCGAGGAGAGCGAGUUCGACCAGAGAGUCUCCGAGAGCAACACCCAUUUUGUGAUUCAGGUUGAGCUCCUUCGCGCCUACCUAGCGCAAGCAUGCGUCCACCGCGUCCCUGUCAUUCUCCUCGCCGGGGCCUACCGCUUGUUUCGCGAUGUGCCCAACAAGGCACAUGUGGCGUUGCGGUGGUACAUGGCGACUAUGGCCGGCUUCACUAUCGCGCAGGAGAUGCUCGGGAUGUACAUCCGGUACGUCUGGACAGACUGGAGCCUGUGGGCAAUGGUUAUUUGGCCCCUCGUCUUCCUGGGUGUUGUGAACUACGUGUACGGUCUGUCAAAACGGGCUGGAACGGUGGUGACGAUGUCGUCGACGAACUGUGUGACGGAGGCAUUGCGUGGUCUUGUCACGUGCGGCGCGCUGUGGCUCAUCGCCUCACUGAUAGUUCUCGCCUUCGUUGUGAGCGUGCACGAAGAGCUGGUGCUUAUCUGGCUCUUCAUGUCGCUCAUGAUCCUGUGGACGCCUGCUAUUAUCGAUGCGUGUGCCACCGACUACAUGGCGUUUCUCGCCAUUGGUGCGGGGUGCAUGGUGUAUGCCAUGGGCGGCGUCUCGUCCGUGUGGGCGAGCGCGCGCUUUGGUGCGCUGCACUUCUUAUGGUGGUUCUUUCCCUCUCUCUUGUACAACGCGACGCUGCACCUCUUCGCCUCCCGCUACAUCGCCAUGACGGUCGCGGCUUCCUGGUUUUUGUGGUCGCUGGCGCCUCCGAGCGAGCUCUUGAAGAAUGCCGAGUCGGCGGCGGAGCUGGGCCUAGAGGAUGGUCACGGUGUUGUGCACCUAUUCACGGCACGCGUGCUGUGGCUCCGCGCUGUAGCGGACUUCCGCACCCUGCCGAAAGGGUCAUGGAUUUACGGUCUGACGCAGGGGGACGGCGAGCGCGCCUUUGAUCUCAUCCUCCACGCGGCGGCCGCGGCGUGCGCUGUGUGUAUCGCGAUCAGCUUUGCCGUGGAGCGCCGCUUCACCGCCGAGGCACGUCUUGCGUGGCGGCAGCGUGACAUCGUUAGCGCCACGCCGGCUGUGCUGCUGCGUAAAAUGAUUCGCACCGUUGUGGUAGUGGGAUGCGUGGCUGCCUCGGCGGGGAUGUGGUGGGUGGUGCGUCAUUACGUGCUACCGAUGUGGACGCAGCUACUGCCCGACAUGAUCAGCAAAUUACUCGCGACGGUGGCGGCUGUGACGGUACUCGGCAAUCUCAUGGACAUGCACGAUAGUAUGUACAUCUCAUGUAUGCGCAUUCUGGGUCUGCCGGACCCGCUUAUCACGAUUGAUGGACCGGCGGUCGCCAGCGACGACCUGGCCAGUUCCGCCACCUCGAAAAUGCCCACAGAAGACAAGGGUGUCCACCCUAGUCGCACGUUUGAGUAGCGGCGAAUGAGACACGAAAAUCGCGCCCGAGAGAGGGGCACAGGGAACAACCAGAAUGAAUAGGGAGUCUGGUCACUUUGGUGUGUUGUUGUUGCGCAGUGCUCAGCCAAGAGGCGUGCUGUCCAUGUGCGUCCGCCGCACUCGUUUGUGUGUGUGUGUGUGUUCGGUGAGCAUGUCCUGAUGAUGUCGGUAGCCUCAGCGCGGCAUCAGGGUCCAGUACCCACACACGCUCUGUGGGGUCGCCAACAGGCGGCGCAGGCUGCCCUCGGAGACGACGGACGGAGUCUUCCGUGUCAGCGGACAUCUCAGUGCGGAAGAGACCUGCGGUCGUGGCCAGGGCUCUACUAGGUCACUACAAAUCGUGUGGGCGAUUCGGCAAGUAUACGCAUCCACCUACUGUUUUUUUUUUUCUGCUUUCGCUGCGUUGCGGUGAUGUCGAGCGUAAUCCUGGACUGCACGUGUGCCUUGCGCGGUGGGAUGGCAAUGGGCUGAACGACGCCAGACAGUGUUCGUCGGCCCGGCUGCUGGACAUGGCCGUGGUGCAACUGAGGUAGGAGAAGUGUGGUUGUGUGUGCGUCUAUUUGCGCACUUGUGUGGAGGAGGAGGAUGUCGAACGAAAAAAGGAAAGAACGGUUGUCGCCCUCGCAUGAUGAAUGCCGCUGCUGCUCUGAGAGACACCUAUCGUCGUGUGUCCCUCCUUGUCCAAGGAGGGCAUCACUCAUGCCGUUGUCUUCAUGGCCAUGCAUGGGUGGUAAUUGCUGAUAGAAUCUCUCCGCAGAGCAUGCGCACGCGCACAGGAGGGUCAACCGCUAGGGCGGAGUUCGUGACACGUGCUCUCCACCUCGUUACUCCUCUUCGACCCCCCCCCCUUACACCCCUUACACUUCCCACUGACUGCCUUGUUUGCAUGCCGUGGUGUGAAAGAGAACCAGUCUCCUGUCCAUCUCUGAAUGCACCCCUGCCUCCUCUCACCUUCCACCCUCGCCCCGCCCGCAG